Molecule: long non-coding RNA, 1555 nt
Organism: Equus caballus (horse)
Lineage: Eukaryota; Metazoa; Chordata; Mammalia; Perissodactyla; Equidae
Source: Ensembl
CCUCUAUGGGCCUGACUGGUGCCCACUUUGUCUCUGCAGCGCCCAGCUCCCCCAUCGCAGAGAAUUCCCUUCACAGAUGGAACAAUUGGGAGUGGGGGCAGUGACCCACUCAUGCAGGCAGCCCGCCAGCACUCCCAGAACAUGCCGCGAUCUGACAGCCAGCAAUGCGUGAGCUGUUCAUCACGCAGCAUGGGUCCUGCUCGGGUCUCCCAUCGCUGAAGCUCCACUCUGGGGUUUCCACCGUGACCUUAAGCAUGCCUGGAUCCUGAGGCUGCAACUUCACCCUUUGCUGUGCAGCCUCUCCCAUCUUAUAGCCAGUUCUGAGGCUGGGACCUCUGGGAAGGGACAAUCAAGUGCAGAGCGGGCAGGCUGCUGGUGGCCCGGAGCAAGGACAGGGGAAGUGAGACUCCGAGAAGAGGAAGGGUCCUCACUGUGAGAGUCCAGGGCCACAGAGGGAGUAGGCUGCCUAUCUGAGAAGGUGGAGUACUGUUCCUGGUCAGCACCCAUCACCCCUCCUGGGCAGCCGUCUGCCCCUUCCCCAUCCCUGUGGUCGUUCUUGAAGACUUCAGCCCUGCUCGCUGCUGGCAACUGUCAUCAUUUUCAGUGACUUCUACAUCCACAGUGACAAUCCCUUCUAUACCUGGACUUCUGGUCCUUGACCUCCUUGCCUCCUGUUGCAAAUCUUGUUGGCAUUUUCCCCAGCAGUCGUUGCUUUCUUCUUCACUGAAUAAGGGUAAUACUAAUAAAGAAAAUGGACACUGUUCUAAUCCCCCAUUGUUCUAAUCUCCCGAUGCAAUGGGCUCAGAGAAAUACGCCCAGUUCCAGGGAAUGAAUCAUGACGGGAGGAAAUCCAUCAUGGACCUCUUCCUCUUUGCUGGCAUCGCUUAGGAGUGAGGAGGACAUUUGACCCAGUUCUGGCCAACAGGGCCUGAGCAGAUGCCUGACACAGGAGGUGGGUGGUGUCUGGGAAGGUUUUAUGUCUCCAACUAGAGAAAGGCAGAGGGAGGAGUCAGUCGUUGCUCACUGCCUUUGACCUGGGAGGGCAAGUAUGUAACGUUGGCAGCUGUAGCAGCCAAAGUGAGACCAUGAGGAAAGAGAUAAAGAGACUCCCAGAGGAGCUGAUGAAAGGCCUGCCCUCCUGAGAGGAUGAAUUCAUCAACCCCAGAGCCUCCUGACUCUGGACUCCGCGUUGGUGAGAUCAUAGCCUUUUGCGCUGAAGCCACUUUGGGCCAGAAAUUCUGGGACAUGAACCUGAAUACACCCCGGCUGAUCCAUUUAAGCCCCAGAAUAAUCUAAAUAUCUCUGUAACUGUUUCUUGUGCUGGUUCCAUUUUCUAACUACCCAGAUCAAAGGUCAAAGUCAUAUGUCAUUCCCUUCGUAUCCUCCAGGGUCCUAGCAUCUUGCUUACCUCAUGGCCAGUGCUAAACAUGUGCAGUGAAUAAAAGUGUAUAAUGAAUGCUUGACAGUCUUGACUAUCAACAGAGCACAGCCCUUCACCCAGACUAAUAUCUUUAUAGUGUAAAAUAAAACAAAACAAGCAAAAAACACAGAAAGA